GUGAAAUUGUUGAAAGGGAAGCGCUUGCAACCAGACCUGCCUGCAGUUGCUCAUCCGGGCUUUUGCCCGGUGCACUCUUCUGCUGUCAGGCCAGCAUCGGUUCGGGCGGUCGGAUAAAGGCUUCGGGAAUGUAGCUCCUCUCGAGGAGUGUUAUAGCCCGUUGCGAAAUGCGGCCAGCCUGAACUGAGGUCCGCGCUUCGGCUAGGAUGCUGGCGUAAUGGUUGUAAGCGGCCCGUCUUGAAACACGGACCAAGGAGUCUAACAUCUGUGCGAGUGUUUGGGUGUCAAACCCGUACGCGUAAUGAAAGUGAACGGAGGCGGGAACCCCUCGGGGUGCACCGUCGACCGAUCCUGAUGUCUUCGGAUGGAUUUGAGUAAGAGCAUAGCUGUUGGGACCCGAAAGAUGGUGAACUAUGCCUGAAUAGGGUGAAGCCAGAGGAAACUCUGGUGGAGGCUCGCAGCGGUUCUGACGUGCAAAUCGAUCGUCAAAUUUGGGCAUAGGGGCGAAAGACUAAUCGAACUAUCUAGUAGCUGGUUCCUGCCGAAGUUUCCCUCAGGAUAGCAGUAACGUUUUCAGUUUUAUGAGGUAAAGCGAAUGAUUAGAGGCCUGGGGGUUGAAACAACCUUCACCUAUUCUCAAACUUUAAAUAUGUAAGAAGUCCUUGUCGCUUAGUUGAACGUGGACAUUUGAAUGUAUCGUUACUAGUGGGCCAUUUUUGGUAAGCAGAACUGGCGAUGCGGGAUGAACCGAACGCGGA
This 758-nucleotide ribosomal RNA is filed under the name uncultured Ascomycota. Its description in RNAcentral is "LSU rRNA". It matches the Rfam family "Eukaryotic large subunit ribosomal RNA", at positions 399 to 1178 of the family's 3401-position model. Lineage: Eukaryota; Fungi; Ascomycota. The record is from RNAcentral.